Molecule: ribosomal RNA, 368 nt
Filed under: uncultured organism
Description: bacterial LSU rRNA
Rfam family: Bacterial large subunit ribosomal RNA
Source: RNAcentral
CUUUACUGUAGCCUGGAAUUGUGUCCGGGCUUCGCUUGCGCAGGAUAGGUGGGAAGCGAUGAAGUAUUCCUUGUGGGGAAUAUGGAGCUAACGGUGAGAUACCACUCUGGCGAAGCUAGGAUUCUAACUUAUUUCCGUUAUCCGGAAAAAGGACAGUUUCAGGUGGGCAGUUUGACUGGGGCGGUCGCCUCCUAAAAGGUAACGGAGGCGCGCAAAGGUUCCCCCGGUCCCGUUGGAAAUGGGACGAUAGAGUGCAAAAGCAGAAGGGAGCUUGACUGUGAGACCCACAAGUCGAACAGGGACGAAAGUCGGCUUUAGUGAUCCGACGGCACCGCGUGGAAGGGCCGUCGCUCAACGGAUAAAAGUUA